This 119-nucleotide small nuclear RNA is filed under the name Glycine max (soybean). RNAcentral describes it as "snRNA U5". It matches the Rfam family "U5 spliceosomal RNA". Rfam says of the family: U5 RNA is a component of both types of known spliceosome. The precise function of this molecule is unknown, though it is known that the 5' loop is required for splice site selection and p220 binding, and that both the 3' stem-loop and the Sm site are important for Sm protein binding and cap methylation. Lineage: Eukaryota; Viridiplantae; Streptophyta; Magnoliopsida; Fabales; Fabaceae. The record is from Rfam by way of RNAcentral.
AGCCGUGUGAUGAACACAGAGCGAACUAUUCUUUCGCCUUUUACUAAAGAAUACCGUGUGUUCUUCACUUAAAGCGGCAUACGCCUAUUUUUGGAAGAGCCCUUGAUUAUUGGAGGGCU